Molecule: ribosomal RNA, 429 nt
Filed under: Chloroflexota bacterium
Lineage: Bacteria; Bacillati; Chloroflexota
Description: Chloroflexi bacterium partial 16S ribosomal RNA
Rfam family: Bacterial small subunit ribosomal RNA
Source: RNAcentral
UGGGGAAUAUUGCACAAUGGGCGCAAGCCUGAUGCAGCCAUGCCGCGUGUAUGAAGAAGGCCUUCGGGUUGUAAAGUACUUUCAGCGGGGAGGAAGGGAGUAAAGUUAAUACCUUUGCUCAUUGACGUUACCCGCAGAAGAAGCACCGGCUAACUCCGUGCCAGCAGCCGCGGUAAUACGGAGGGUGCAAGCGUUAAUCGGAAUUACUGGGCGUAAAGCGCACGCAGGCGGUUUGUUAAGUCAGAUGUGAAAUCCCCGGGCUCAACCUGGGAACUGCAUCUGAUACUGGCAAGCUUGAGUCUCGUAGAGGGGGGUAGAAUUCCAGGUGUAGCGAUGAAAUGCGUAGAGAUCUGGAGGAAUACCGGUGGCGAAGGCGGCCCCCUGGACGAAGACUGACGCUCAGGUGCGAAAGAGUGGGGAGCAAACAGG